Long non-coding RNA from Pistacia vera, 3557 nucleotides. RefSeq lists it as uncharacterized. The transcript has 3 exons. Lineage: Eukaryota; Viridiplantae; Streptophyta; Magnoliopsida; Sapindales; Anacardiaceae. The record is from RefSeq and is a predicted model, not a curated record.
UUCCAGUGUAGAAAUUUAUUUUAAGAUCUUCUUUCGAGUGUAGUUUUAUUUAUGUAUGUCUAACCAAUGAAGAGAGGAGUUAGCACUGACAGAUACAGGUUGGUUUGUUGUAGUUGAUAAAUAGUGGAACUCUUACCUAUUUUAGUAUAAUACUCGUUGACUGUUUAAUAUUUUCUUUGCCUUUGACUGUGAGAGGCUCUUGAUCAAAAUCUGUAUUUGAUUUUGGUGGUUAAUUUUGUUGAUUUGGCAAAAUGAAUUUGGUGUGGCACAAGCUCAGAUUCAGUAUACGUUCUUCAAUGGAUAUAAUUUAAGUUCAGAAUAUUUUGGAUCAAGGAUUAAUGUUUGGGAUUAUUUUUGAAACUUCAUCUUAUUUUUAUGUAUCCUAAAUUUACGAGUAAAUUGAUUCUUCACAAAUUGGUCCUAGGAUAAGCUUGCUAUGAACAUUACUACUGAACAUGGAAAAACACUAGAGGAUGCACCCAAUGAUGUGCUGCAUGGACUUGGAUCUGCCUUGGAGCAAUAUUCUCUAUUGCAUUGAUUGGGGAGAAAAUUACAAGCUUCCAGUAAAAUUUUCAAUUGCUGGUAGACGGUUCAAGUAACCUUGGAUCCCCAUGAUCUGCCUCGGAGCAAUAUUCUCUAUUGCAUUGAUUGGGAAGAAAAUUACAAGCUUCCAGUAAAAUUUUCAGUUGCUCGUAGAGGGUUCAAGUAACCACUGAGCGUCAAAAUUUUCAAUUGCUGAUGUUCUUUCCCUGCCGAUAUAAAGGGAAGUAAUAUCUGAUACAAAAGCUUUUCUUGCGAAACUUAUCUAUCUUUUUAUACAUUAGUAGCUGCAGAAGUCCGUGGUUAUUUAUUCCUGAAGUAUCUUAUCCGAUUUUUUUUUACGAUUCCACGUCUUUUAGAGCGAAGUGUCAAUGCUGUGGAGUUGCUGCCAGUCUUUGAGUUUUAGUUUCAAAGGCGCCCAAAAAUUUGCUGCCAACCUUGGUGUGUAUUGUGGCUUGCCUUCAACUUUUCACGUACCUGUUAUUGUGAAAUUUCAGAAAGCUUUUGCAACAUAAUUUUUUCUUUGACUAUUUGGUUCAUCCCAGUUGUUGAGUCUUAUAUGAUAAUUUCUUUAUUACUUGCUCCAAAACACGAAUUUUCCUAUCAAAAAGCUGAACUCUUAUGUGACUCAUUUUUAAACUUCGCUGAACUCUUAUGUGACUCAUUUUUAAACUUCUAUUUUUUAUAUUAAGUUAAUUGCCUCAUGCAAUGUUUUUGGUUUUUUUAACGUGAAUACCAUAUGUUGUUCAUCUGUGAACAUAGUUGAUAAUCCCGUGAAUAGUAGGCUCACUUUGGAUUUCUAUAUGUGAGAAAUUUGACCAUUGAAUGUAAAAGUUAAUAUAAGUUCUAAAAUUUUCCUCCUUUGUUAUUCCGCAAGGCCAAAUCUCUAGCGGAAAUUUUUGCAAUCUUGUGGCCCAAUUUACUAUUUCUUUUUACUUCAAAAAAUGGUUCAAAGAUGAGAGAUCGGUAGGAAGAUGAAGAAUUAGCUAAAUAGAUAUGUCCAGAUUUGUUGUGGAUGAGUGUAACACUAUUUCAUGAACAAAACUUUGCAUUUAUGUUGUUUUCUUUUUAAUUAUGAAUAAGUUAGCCUAAGUUGGGCUGCUUGGAAUUCACACUUCUGUCUUCACGAUUUCAGGAGGAAUUCAUAGUAAUAAGAGUAAUAACUUGAAUAGGCAAAGUUGUUACAUAAUUCACUCAUUCAUUCAUUGUUUUCUUUUCCAUUAUUGUUUUCCAUGAUCCAAAACUAUAUAAACUAUAAUGUUAAUAACAAAAAGCAUCCUUUCAUAUGCAUAAACUAUGGUAGGAUUCUAUUUAUCUGUUUCCUGAAUUCUGUGUAAACAUAUGACUCAGUCCAAAGUUCUCUUUACCAAGACUUUUACUGAGUUUCAGCUGAAGAUUCUGUAUCGGCAGAUUCAUAAGACGAACCCAGACUUCACAUUGACGGAUGGAUUGAUGGUAACUUUUGAUAAUAUUUGCUAUAAUAAGAUUCUGUACCACCUUAUGCUGUACAAAUUUGUCAACCCAUUUAAUUAUGUCAAUUUAUGUAUGCUGUGUUAUUCCAACCCACCUAUUUGCAUUUUAUUUUAAGUUUCUUGUACAGUAAUGUGUACUCUAUCUGUGGGCCAGUUCUUUUUCAAAUAAUAGUUUUUUUAUGAUUUUUAAGAUUCUUUCCAUAUGUACUUGAAACCUUAGUAUAGAUAUCUAUACCAAAUGAAUGAAUACAAUUUUGUUUGCACUUCACCAUAAUUCCGCUGGUACUAUACUCUAUUGCUGGAGUACAAGAAUUUCUUUUUAAAGCUUAUAUCAACAUCUAAUUACUUCGUUGACAUUAAUCCUGUGCUUUAUCUAGAUUUUCGUCAUUGUGCUGGAGAAUUAAAAAUUCGAGAAAGUAAUUGUAUCUUAGUACUUGAAAUAAGAUAUCAUCAGUAGUUUACCGCAAACUCAAAUUUCUCCAGCUUUAAACAAAUACAUUGAAUGUUUCAUCUGAAUUUGUUUUCCAAUUUUUGUUUUAGGAAUGGGUGUUGGGAUUGAAAUAUGCUUUACAAUAUCGUAUGUUUACAGGUAUAUUAUCAUUAAUAUUGUGUGUUUAUAGGUCAUUACUAUCAUUGAGUGCUACCGAAACGCGUCGAAACAUGUAUUGAAGAUGCAAAAGAAAUCUAAAAGUGAUGUCAAAUGCAUCGGUCUUGUUCCUGGUAUCGACACAGGUUUGCGUCGGCCAUUUCUGUAGAACAUACUGCAAUCUAAAGCAAUAUUUUUUUUGUCAUCAAAACUUGCAUACUCUAUAAUUGUAAAAUGUUCAGUAUUUUUUAUAUUCUAGAUCUAUACUGGGUACCUUACAAAUGCUUAUAACAUGUUCAUUUCAUUUGUCAUUUCUCAAAGACAAUAUUUAAUUGGUCCUGAAUUUUUUGUAUAUAUUAUGAGGAGCUUUCAUCUUGAGGCAAGUAUACCACCCGUUCCCACUUUCCUGUACAUGAUAUUGCAAACCAGGCAUAUCAAUAGGAGUCUCACAUGUUAUGUGACUACAAUGAAUGUGGGCAUAAAUAUUUUUUACAUAAAAAGAACAGUUGUCAACUUACAUUAGUUCUCACAAAAGCGUCGUCUCAUCAUUGCCCUCUUUUUUAUUUGAAGACCUACAGUUUUUGGCACUCUUUGCAUCGGGGCAUAGACUGAAAAGUUCUGAUACUAUAAUUUUACAACCCUAAUCUUUACAUUCUCUAAACAAUUCUAUAAAAGGCCCCAAAAUCAAACAAACUACAACUUCUAUGGCAAUUAGGUUCUUGGUUUACAUAAAAUACUCACUAGCAAAAUUCUCAUUAGCUAACCAAACAGCAACGAAUCACGACAAUUUAUAUUUUUCCACCAUACAACUUAUGUCCCCAACCUAAAUAUACACAUCUCACUAAAAUUGCAAAAUUUCACCUUUAAUAAUAAACUAAACUGGAGUAAGAAAACAACAUAAUAAAUUUUGAGUGGUUGCAAGCUACCUGCAUUCCUCAUUCACAUGGAUAAUCAUGAAA